UACGGAGGAUGCGAGCGUUAUCCGGAUUUAUUGGGUUUAAAGGGUGCGUGGGCGGGCUCUUAAGUCAGCGGUAAAAAUUCGGGGCUCAACCCCGUCCGGCCGUUGAAACUGGGGGCCUUGAGUGGGCGAGAAGAAGGCGGAAUGCGUGGUGUAGCGGUGAAAUGCAUAGAUAUCACGCAGAGCCCCGAUUGCGAAGGCAGCCUUCCGGCGCCCUACUGACGCUGAGGCACGAAAGUGCGGGGAUCGAACAGG
Molecule: ribosomal RNA, 252 nt
Filed under: uncultured bacterium
Lineage: Bacteria
Description: partial 16S ribosomal RNA
Rfam family: Bacterial small subunit ribosomal RNA
Source: RNAcentral